This 390-nucleotide long non-coding RNA is filed under the name Olea europaea subsp. europaea. Lineage: Eukaryota; Viridiplantae; Streptophyta; Magnoliopsida; Lamiales; Oleaceae. The record is from RNAcentral.
ACGACGCGUAUUGGUCGUCUUUUUCCGCAGCUCUCAUAAUUUCCGGUUGCGCAGCCAGAGGAAACCUCAGCACGCCGCCAGAGCCAGUGGAGGAGCUGCCACUAGGCCCCGCUUCGGCGUGACUAGUACUGGCGUCUCCGGUACCGGAAGUUGAUUCUCUCAGUCCCAUCCCCGCGCCCCAAAAAUUCUCUCUCUCGUUACUGAAGAGAUAGAACUUCUCUUCGAACUCGCAAAAUGUUGUGAAAUACCCGAUUUACCCUAUCCAAGAUUAGCAACUCUUGCCUUCCUUUCUCUUUUCUUUCGUAAACCGUCUCACACCACAUUUUUUUAGGUGGAAAUUGCAAGAAAUGUCGACUUUCGCACUAUCAUUUGUAAAAAUGUUCAAAAUUU